GGGCGCUGCCCGGUGGCUCUGGCCCCGCCGGGCCGUUGGCCCAGCCCGCCGGCCCCUGAGCUCCGGUAGCCCGCCGCUGGAGAAGCUGUUCGCCCGGGGCGGGCCCUUGCGGACCUUCCUCGAGCGCCAGGCGGGGUCUGAAGCCCAUUUGAAGGUCAGGAGGCCCGAGUUGCUGGCGGUGAUCAAACUGCUGAACGAGAAGGAGCAGGAGCUGCGGGAGACUGAGCACUUGCUGCACGAUGAGAAUGAAGGUUUAAGGAAACUUGCAGAGAAUGAAAUCACUUUGUGUCAAAAAGAAAUAACUCAGCUGAAGCAUCAGAUUAUCUUACUUUUGGUUCCCUCAGAAGAAACAGAUGAAAAUGAUUUGAUCCUGGAAGUAACUGCAGGAGUUGGAGGUCAGGAGGCAAUGUUGUUUACAUCAGAGAUAUUUGAUAUGUAUCAGCAAUAUGCUGCAUUUAAAAGAUGGCAUUUUGAAACCCUGGAAUAUUUUCCAAGUGAAGUAGGUGGCCUUAGACAUGCAUCUGCCAGCAUUGGGGGUUCAGAAGCCUAUAGGCACAUGAAAUUUGAAGGAGGUGUUCACAGAGUACAAAGAGUGCCAAAGACAGAAAAGCAAGGCUGCGUCCAUACUAGCACCAUGACUGUAGCAAUAUUACCCCAGCCUACUGAGAUUAAUCUGGUGAUUAAUCCGAAAGAUUUGAGAAUUGACACUAAGCGAGCCAGUGGAGCUGGGGAGCAGCAUGUAAAUACCACGGACAGUGCUGUCCGGAUAGUUCAUCUUCCAACAGAUUGGAAGUAAAGGAAGAUCAGAGAAAAUAAGAACAUAUAAUUUUCCACAGAACCGGGUCACAGAUCACAGAAUAAACAAGACGCUGCAUGAUCUUGAAACUUUUAUGCAAGGAGAUUAUCUACUGGAUGAACUUGUACAGUCAUUGAAGGAAUACGCCAAUUAUGAAUCUUUAGUAGAAAUUAUUUCCCAAAAAGUUUAAGUUGAUUUGUUAUUUAUAGACUUUCGUAGCUUAGAAAAAUUCUACAGUACAUCCACAUAGGGUGAAAGUACCCUUACUCUCUUGAAAAACGUGAGUUAACACAGUUGGAGGUAAUAUGCAUAUUCUGAAGUCAUAGAUAAUUUACACAGAUCUCUCUCAAUGCAUUAGCAAAAAUCAUACAAUAUACAGAUGGUCCUCGAUUUACAUUGUGGUUAAUUCCCAAUAAACCCGUCAUAAGUUAAAAAUGCAUAUAACGUUAGCAACACAGCAGUCUCCUAAUUAAUGACAGCUUGACUUAACAAUUUUCCAACUUUACCAUGGUGUGAAAGAGGUAUGAUUCCUAAGCCCUAAGGAGCUCCUCAGCUUGAAAUGGGGCUGCAUCCCUAUAAACCCAUCAUAAAGUCAAAAAAUCCUAAAACAUAAGUUGGUGACCAUCUGUAAUCAUGAUGUGGUGGUAAAUCUUGGACGCUACCUUACAAUAACUAGACAAAGGAAAAUCAUCCUUUGUCCUGUUCUGUGUAAAUAUUUAAUGAAUGAUCAAAACUUCAGUUUAAAUAUUAUGAAAAACUUUAAACAUAAAGUAGUAGAAAUAAGACAGUAAAUACUGUAUCCUAAUAUCCAGUCAGGAUACAGAAACCAUACCAUUAACUUGAACAGGGAUAAUUUUAAUAUAAAAAACUGUUAACUGAUAAUGGUAUUAACUUUUAAGAGGGAUGAAAGAGAGCUAUGAUGUCCUAGGACUGAGAGUACCCCAGGAAAGAAUACCCUUGAAAGGGUCUCCCCUUCCCCAUGGUGAAGUCAGGCCUAAUGGAGAGAGUGGCUACAGCCUACUCAGUGAUUGGGAAAUUCCCUGUCUUGCCCUGGGCCAGAGCUGGUGUACCGCUGGUGGAUCAGGUCUUACAAGCAAAGAACCUCACACUCUCAACUGGUAAGCCAGAAGCCUCUUGCUAGGGUGUGAGCAAAACUUGGACAGGAACUCUCAGUAGAUGUUUGUGUUUGUCAAGAUUCUCCAGACAAACUUCCUUAAAAGGAUUGGCUUGUGUUGUUAUUAUUAAGUCUAACAAGUCCAAAAGCUGGAGUGUGAGGCAGGAGGCUGGAAACCCAGGAAAGCUGAUGGUGCAAGGUCCAGUCCAAAGGUAUCUGUUGGAGGAUUCUCUUGUUCUGGGAAGAGGACGGUCUUUUUUUCUCUUCAGACCUUCACCUGACUGGAUCAAGCCCACUAACAUCGAGGAGGACAGUCUGCAUUACUCAGAGUUCACUGAUUGAUUUAAAUGUCAAUCUCAUAUAAAACACCCUCACAGAAACACCUAGAAUAAUGUUUGACCUUAUAAUUGGAAAAUCAGAGCAAAAGUUAAAUCUCUAAAAAAAAAAAAAAAAAAAGUAUGACCCAGUAGCUAGGCACCUGUGGCCCCGCCAAGUUGACACAUAAAAUUAACUGUCACAGUAUCAUCUUAGAAGUGAAAGAAGCCCCUUUAUCCUGCAGUGCCCCUCUACCACCACCUACUGACAAAGAACAUGGUGCUAUCUGGCAUGGGAGAAAUGUUCAGUUUGCUAUGGCUUGUAUGUGUCCCCUCAAAUUCAAGUGUUGCCAAUGUGACAGCAUCAAGAGGUGGGGUCUUUAAGAGAUCACUAGGCCAUGAAGGAUUCUCUUAGGACUGGGAUGAAGGCCCAUAAUAAAAGAGGUUUCAGGGAGCAUCCUGCUAGCUUGCCUUCUGUAUGUGAGAACACAGCAAGAAAGCCCUAGUCAACAAGUGCCAGCUCCUUGAUCUUAGACUUCCCAUCCUCCAGAACUGUGAGAAAUACAUUUCUGUUCCUUACAAAUUACCCAGUCUCCUGUAUUCUGUUAUAGCAGCACAAAAUGAAGAUACCAUACCUGAACACCUGAACAUUCUUCACAAGGUAGUAAAUGCACUGCUUUAUUCUGGUCUCAGUAUUGUGUGCUUAAUAAGGAAAUGAGAAAGGGUGGAUCAGGGCAUAGGAUGAACAAGUUACUGCUAGACCUCUCACAAUGCCACUAAUGGAUAAGAUUGUAUUUUCAUCAUUCUUGUCUCUUCGGAAGCUAACACCAUGCUAUAAUAGGCACUAAAUAGAUGUCUAAAAACACCUUAAGUAUUUGUCUAGAAAUCUGGUGCAUUGUUCAGAAAGAACCAAAAUUCAAAAUAAUUUCAAAGGGCCUAAAGCACUAGUUAAUCAAAAUUCAUUAGUUUUUAAUGGUACUACCACUCUCAAAUUUAAAAUGUCAUCUUACGUUCCUCUUCCUCGCAUUGGAUUUAUUGCUAAAACCUGGUAAACACUUUUAAUCCUUUUCAAUUCCAUUACCACUGCUCUUGUCCAGAAUUACUUCGCAGACUAAUAGUCACCUGACUUCUCCCCUGCAUCAGAUUUGCUGUCUAAUUCUGGUUACAAAUAAGUAACUGCCAAACUAAUCUUUCUAAAAAGCAAGACUGAUCUCGUCACUCCUUUGCUCAACAAUGUAAAAGCUCCCAUUGUCUCCCAAAUAAAACCAGCUUUCCACUGUGUAUACAAUACAAAAAAAA
RNAcentral lists this long non-coding RNA (3523 nucleotides) under Homo sapiens (human). RNAcentral's name for it is "non-protein coding lnc-TRIML1-9:2". The record is from RNAcentral. Lineage: Eukaryota; Metazoa; Chordata; Mammalia; Primates; Hominidae.